This 497-nucleotide ribosomal RNA is filed under the name uncultured bacterium. Its description in RNAcentral is "partial 16S ribosomal RNA". It matches the Rfam family "Bacterial small subunit ribosomal RNA", at positions 28 to 507 of the family's 1533-position model. The record is from RNAcentral.
GAUGAACGCUGGCGGCGUGCCUAAUACAUGCAAGUCGAGCGAACGGACGAGAAGCUUGCUUCUCUGAUGUUAGCGGCGGACGGGUGAGUAACACGUGGAUAACCUACCUAUACGACUGGGAUAACUUCGGGAAACCGUAGCUAAUACCGGAUAAUAUUUUGAACCGCAUGGUUCAAAAGUGAAAGACGGUCUUGCUGUCACUUAUAGAUGGAUCCGCGCUGCAUUAGCUAGUUGGUAAGGUAACGGCUUACCAAGGCAACGAUGCAUAGCCGACCUGAGAGGGUGAUCGGCCACACUGGAACUGAGACACGGUCCAGACUCCUACGGGAGGCAGCAGUAGGGAAUCUUCCGCAAAGGGCGAAAGCAUGACGGAGCAACGCCGCGUGAGUGAUGAAGGUCUUCGGAUCGUAAAACUCUGUUAUUAGGGAAGAACAUAUGUGUAAGUAACUGUGCACAUCUUGACGGUACCUAAUCAGAAAGCCACGGCUAACUACGUG